GGCGUGCCUAAUACAUGCAAGUCGAACGCACUGACGUCGACAGAAGGUGCUUGCACUGGAAGUUGAUUGACGUGAGUGGCGGACGGGUGAGUAACACGUGGGUAACCUGCCCUUAAGCGGGGGAUAACAUUUGGAAACAGAUGCUAAUACCGCAUAAAAGUUGAGAUCACAUGGUCUUAAUUUGAAAGACGGCCUUUGGCUGUCACUUAAGGAUGGACCCGCGGCGUAUUAGCUAGUUGGUGAGAUAAUAGCCCACCAAGGCGAUGAUACGUAGCCGACCUGAGAGGGUAAUCGGCCACAUUGGGACUGAGACACGGCCCAAACUCCUACGGGAGGCAGCAGUAGGGAAUCUUCCACAAUGGACGAAAGUCUGAUGGAGCAACGCCGCGUGAGUGAAGAAGGUUUUCGGAUCGUAAAACUCUGUUGUUGGAGAAGAACAGGGACUAGAGUAACUGUUAGUCCUUUGACGGUAUCCAACCAGAAAGCCACGGCUAACUACGUGCCAGCAGCCGCGGUAAUACGUAGGUGGCAAGCGUUGUCCGGAUUUAUUGGGCGUAAAGCGAGCGCAGGCGGUUUCUUAAGUCUGAUGUGAAAGCCUUCGGCUUAACCGAAGAAGUGCAUCAGAUACUGGGAAACUUGAGUGCAGAAGAGGAAAGUGGAACUCCAUGUGUAGCGGUGAAAUGCGUAGAUAUAUGGAAGAACACCAGUGGCGAAGGCGGCUUUCUGGUCUGUAACUGACGCUGAGGCUCGAAAGUAUGGGGAGCGAACAGGAUUAGAUACCCUGGUAGUCCAUACCGUAAACGAUGAAUGCUAAGUGUUGGAGGGUUUCCGCCCUUCAGUGCUGCAGCUAACGCAUUAAGCAUUCCGCCUGGGGAGUACGACCGCAAGGUUGAAACUCAAAGGAAUUGACGGGGGCCCGCACAAGCGGUGGAGCAUGUGGUUUAAUUCGAAGCUACGCGAAGAACCUUACCAGGUCUUGACAUCUAGCGCCAAUCCUAGAGAUAGGACGUUCCCUUCGGGGACGCUAAGACAGGUGGUGCAUGGUUGUCGUCAGCUCGUGUCGUGAGAUGUUGGGUUAAGUCCCGCAACGAGCGCAACCCUUAUGAUUAGUUGCCAGCAUUUAGUUGGGCACUCAAAUCAGACUGCCGGUGACAAACCGGAGGAAGG
RNAcentral lists this ribosomal RNA (1167 nucleotides) under uncultured bacterium. Its description in RNAcentral is "bacterial SSU rRNA". It matches the Rfam family "Bacterial small subunit ribosomal RNA", at positions 41 to 1173 of the family's 1533-position model. The record is from RNAcentral.